AAGCCUGAUCCAGCCAUGCCGCGUGGGUGAAGAAGGCCUUCGGGUUGUGAAGCCCUUUUGUUGGGAAAGAAAAGCAGCCGGCCAAUACCCGGUUGUUCUGACGGUACCCAAAGAAUAAGCACCGGCUAACUCCGUGCCAGCAGCCGCGGUAAUACGGAGGGUGCAAGCGUUACUCGGAAUCACUGGGCGUAAAGAGCACGUAGGCGGCCUUGCAAGUCAGAUGUGAAAUCCAACGGCUUAACCGUUGAACUGCAUUUGAAACUGCAAGGCUAGAGUAUGGGAGAGGUAGGUGGAAUUCUCGGUGUAGGGGUAAAAUCCGUAGAGAUCGAGAGGAAUACUCAUUGCGAAGGCGACCUGCUGGAACAUUACUGACGCUGAGGUGCGAAAGCGUGGGGAGCAAACA
Molecule: ribosomal RNA, 403 nt
Filed under: uncultured Wolinella sp.
Lineage: Bacteria; Pseudomonadati; Campylobacterota; Epsilonproteobacteria; Campylobacterales; Helicobacteraceae
Description: bacterial SSU rRNA
Rfam family: Bacterial small subunit ribosomal RNA
Source: RNAcentral